This is a non-coding RNA of Paramuricea clavata, 613 nucleotides long. The record is from the annotation of a GenBank genome assembly. Lineage: Eukaryota; Metazoa; Cnidaria; Anthozoa; Malacalcyonacea; Plexauridae.
CUAGGUUUUUCACGUGUGAUAUUUUAUCAUUUGAAAUAAUAGAGUUUGUGUUUGCAUUACAAAAGAGGAUUUUGCAAUAUUUACAGGACGUAUAGAUAGCGAACCCGGCUGCAGCCUACUGAUAAUGCUGCAAUAUGGAAAUUCGCUUAUUGCCUGUUGUGGGCAGACAAGCAAAAUGCGCAUGCGUGAGGGGCAAACAUUAAUGUUUCCCAGCAGAGGUUUCCCAGUAUCCUUCAUGUCUCCCGAAGGUAGGCAAACCAUGUGUUGGCCGAAAAUGGCAAAACAGAAAAAUGCUUUUCCUGGCCAUGUUUUCCGAAGAUAGACAAAACAGAAAAGGAAAUUAAAUAUUGUUUCCUAGCCAUGUUUUCCGAAUGUGGACAACAGGAAACAGAUUGUUUCGUAAUCGUAUUAUUUUGUGUUUUGCUCAGGAAUUAUUUUUGAGUUCAAGAACUAAAGGUUAUAUCAUUUUUAGACCAGAUUCCGGCACGCUCAUAAAACUAUCUUGUGCUUCUAGCUUUUCAUUCACCGUCCAAUUUUUUUUUUUUUUUGGGGGGGGCGUGUUUAUUUGAAAAGUUUUUCCUUGUUCCCAAAAAGAUUUCCACCCCCCCCUGGG